AAAGUCCAUUAACCCCUUGGUGGCCAAGCAAUUGGAAGUCAACUCUGAUGUGUAAAGUAUGAGUAGGGCUAUUCAUAUGACACUUUAAGCCACAUGUUGCUUCCUAGGUUCCUUCUGUGGGGGAAACUGGGUCUUGGAUAAUUAACAAAUACUCACUGAACACAGUGCAUUGUCCCAAGGGCUUUACAUUUGUCAUCUUUAUACUCAAGAGUCCUUUGAAAGAGAUACUAUUGUAUGUCAAGCCCUUUUUACAGAUGAAGGAACUAAGGGAGGGGUUAAGAAGCGCUGGCUUGGUAUUUGAGAAGUGGUUGAUGGAAGAUACUGGUGAAGAUUGUCCAGUCCCAACAGCCACACUGUCCUUCAUUCAGAGCCAUCAGUAGUCCUCAGCCUUGGAUGCACAUAAGACACUUGGGAACCUUGAAAUAUCGAUUUCUGGAUCCCACCAUAGAGAUUCUGAUUUAAUUCUGAUUCUUGACAUGGGGUUUUUGAAAGCUCCCAGGCUGUUUUUAAGUGAAACCAAGGUGUAGGGCUAUGAACUGAUUUUAUUCAUGAAGAAGCAAGUUGGGAGGUUACAUGCUAGUCAGUAGGUAGUAAGCGACUAAGCUAAAAUUUAAACCCAGUUACAUCUGAUGCCAAAGCCUAGUUUUUCUUUCUUUCUUUCUUUUUCUUUUUUCAGUACCAGGGAUUGAACCCAGGGGCUAAUUUAAUGCUGAGCUACAUCCCCAGCCCUUCGGGGUCUUACUUAGUUGCCGAGGCUGGCCUUGAAUUCAAUCCUCCUGCCUCAGCCUCCUGGGUCACUAGGAUUACAGGUAUAUGCCACUGUGCUCAGCUGUCUAUUCCUUUAAUAUAAACUGGCACAUAUGAAUCACUGGAGAUCUUAUUUUAAAAUGAAGUUUCUAUUCAGUAAGUCUGGAGUGGACCUGAGAUUCCUAAUAAACAUCCUGUUGAUGCUAAUGUUGCUGGCCCAUCAACCACUUGGGUAACAAGGGAAUAAGCCUUACUGUCUUUUCAAGGGCAGGAAUCUGUCUGACUAAUCUUCCCACUUCAGCGUGUAACACUGGUCACUCCCCAAAUGUUAACUCACCUCUUUAGAAUCAGACCAACAAGUCCUGAACUGUUAAUGGCUUCAAAUUCAAUUGUAGGAUGUUUUAACUUUGGCCCAAGUUGGAUAACAGUUCUUGUCUUCUCCCCUCCCCAUCUUGCUUUGAAUUCUUUGAACAAAGAAACUAAUUUUUGGCUUUCCUGUACUCUUGAUGGAAUUACAGGACAUCAUAGCCUUCUAGGACAGGAGGGUCUAAGCGAUUAAAGAUAAUAAUUUCUUAAAUCUCCCACAAGAAAUGCAUGUCUCAAUUUCAGUAGGUAAAAGGUCACAACAAUUUGAAAGCAGUUAGUGUGAAGGAUCCCUGAGCAGGGCUUCAAAUAAUAGUCAAGAAAUCUUCUUAUUGGUUUUGGCUUUAAUGAGACUAAUUCCUUACAUUACCAAAGGAAAUUUAUCUGCCCCCUUUUCCUCUGCCAAGCCCAUUCCUGUCUUCCCUAUCUGAGUUCAUGGGGUCUGCAUCCUCCCAGUGUCAAAACACAAGAUGCAUCUUUGGCUCCUUCUGCUCGCUCCUCUCCUAUCUCCAAUCCAGCACCAAGUCCUGUUGAGUUUCUUCUAUAAUCUCUCACAUUUGCUACUUCCUCUUUUAUCUCACUGUCACUAUUCCAGGCUAUGUUUGUCCCCUUUGCCUGGAUUAUUAAAACUACUUCCGAGUUGAUCUCCUACAGCCAUCUUCCCCUCCAGUCCAUCCUUUAAUUCACUUCCUGUGCUUGCUGCUCAAAAACCUUAAGUAACCCCCAAAAGGAUACUAACUAAACCUAAAUCCUUACUGGCAUUCGGUCACUCCAUGAUCUGGCCCUAACCUAGCUCAUUUCCCCCACUCUUAUCUUACUUUUCCUUAUUAUGUAUCCAACAUUCCACAAAAUGCCAUUCCUUGAUUGUUUUCCAAUUUCUAACCUACACAGCUGCUAUCCAUUACCAGGAAACAAUCCUUCCCCCAUCUCUGCCUCUUGAACCUCUACCCAUCUCUCAAGGCAGACACUAGUGCUGUCUUCCCCAGGAAGCAUCCCUUUCCUACAGCCAGAAGUGGUCUUUCCUGCCCUGUUGUUCCCAUGACACAAUAUAGUGUGAUGGCUGAACACAGGGUUUUGGAGUUGGGUUGUUUGGAUGUGAAUCCAGGCUCUGUCAUUUAAUAGCUGUGUGAACCUAGGCGAGUUACUUAUCCUUUCUGAACCUUAUUUUGUUCAUCUAUUAAAAAAGGGAGGGGGAGCACCUACUUUCUGGAAUGGCUAUGAGUAUUUAAUGAGUUAUAUACAUAAAACGUGUGCUACAGUGCUAGUAAGUGGCAGCAUGAUUGUAAUGCUCUUGAGUGUGUGACACCAGUGUCAUGGUACUGGAUGUGUCUUAUCUCCCCUGGUCUCAGUAGUGCAAGCACUGGACUUUUAUUUUACAUUCUAUAUCCUCAUGCCUACUACGUGAUAGACAUGCAGGAAAUGAUUAACUAUCUACCAAGUUCAUCUUUCCAAAGAACUUCCAAUACCCUCCUUGCUACAAACCUACAAGCCAAUUCCUUUUAUGCAGAUACAGGAGAAAUUCUUUGAGGUUAAAUUUUCGUCUUCAUGGAUAUCAAAUCCUAGCUGAAAUGCUUUGGCCAUAAUAAAAGAUGUAUUACUAUUCCCUGAAAGGUCAUGAUAUACUUGGGCUUUAAAAAUCUGCUUCUAUGGGGCUGGGUUGUGGCUCAGCAGUAGAGCACUUGCCUAGCACAUUCAAGGCCCUGGGUUUGAUCCUCAGCACCACAUAAAAAUAAAUAAAUAAAAUAAAGGUAUUGUGUUCAACUACAAUUAAAAAAUAAAUAUUUAAAAAUAAUCUUUAAAAAAGCUGCUUCUGUUUCAUAGGAAGCCUCGGUUUGGGGUCAUGAUGUCUUUUUGAGUCUGGAACCUUUGUAUUAUG
This 2986-nucleotide long non-coding RNA is filed under the name Marmota monax (woodchuck). Lineage: Eukaryota; Metazoa; Chordata; Mammalia; Rodentia; Sciuridae. The record is from RNAcentral.